UCCGCCAGGGUACUACAAGCGCCAGCUUAAAACCCAAAGGACUUGGCGGUGCUUCAGACCCACCUAGAGGAGCCUGUUCUAGAACCGAUAAUCCCCGUUCAACCUCACCACCCCUAGCCUUCCCCGCCUAUAUACCGCCGUCGUCAGCUUACCCCGUGAGGGUUAAACAGUGAGCACAAUGAGUAAACCCCAAAACGUCAGGUCGAGGUGUAGCGAAUGAGGUGGGAAGAAAUGGGCUACAUUUUCUAUAAUAGAAUAUUACGAACAGCAAACUGAAAUAAAUGCUUAAAGGUGGAUUUAGCAGUAAAAG
Molecule: ribosomal RNA, 310 nt
Filed under: Distichodus sp.
Lineage: Eukaryota; Metazoa; Chordata; Actinopteri; Characiformes; Distichodontidae
Description: partial small subunit ribosomal RNA
Rfam family: Bacterial small subunit ribosomal RNA
Source: RNAcentral